RNAcentral lists this unclassified non-coding RNA (338 nucleotides) under soil metagenome. Its description in RNAcentral is "partial contains 5.8S ribosomal RNA, internal transcribed spacer 2, and large subunit ribosomal RNA". The stretch from base 1 to 120 matches the Rfam family "5.8S ribosomal RNA", at positions 35 to 154 of the family's 154-position model. The record is from RNAcentral.
GAUGAAGAACGUAGCGAAAUGCGAUACGUAGUGUGAAUUGCAGAAUUCAGUGAAUCAUCGAAUCUUUGAACGCACAUUGCGCCCUUUGGUAUUCCAAAGGGCAUGCCUGUUCGAGCGUCAUUUGUACCCUCAAGCUUUGCUUGGUGUUGGGCGUCUUGUCUCCAGUCCGCUGGAGACUCGCCUUAAAGUCAUUGGCAGCCGGCCUACUGGUUUCGGAGCGCAGCACAAGUCGCACUCUUUUCCAGCCAAGGUCAGUGUCCAACAAGCCUUUUUUCAACUUUUGACCUCGGAUCAGGUAGGGAUACCCGCUGAACUUAAGCAUAUCAAUAAGCGGAAGA